AAUCAAUCAAUCAAGGUACGUACUGAAGGCUACGUUGCAGCAACACACGAAUACUAGCUACGUUGCAGCAACGCACGAAUACUAUCUGCCAUUACAUCUAUGUUUGGAGGUCAAGUGACAGCGCCAAGCAAUAGUCCACAUUUGAGGAAGUCGGGUAGCCGACCUGUUGUCCUUGAUCUUGUUGGUGAGCAGGGAAAUGGUGCAGAGGAAGGUUUCUUGCAUUCGACGGAGUCCAAUGAUUUGAAGAGUAUGAUUACGCCUAUAAGCACUGCUGCAAUAAU
This 281-nucleotide unclassified non-coding RNA is filed under the name Hevea brasiliensis (rubber tree). The record is from RNAcentral. Lineage: Eukaryota; Viridiplantae; Streptophyta; Magnoliopsida; Malpighiales; Euphorbiaceae.